This is a long non-coding RNA of Papaver somniferum (opium poppy), 1571 nucleotides long. RefSeq lists it as uncharacterized. The transcript is spliced from 4 exons. The record is from RefSeq and is a predicted model, not a curated record. NCBI's taxonomy places the organism in Eukaryota, Viridiplantae, Streptophyta, Magnoliopsida, Ranunculales, Papaveraceae.
CCACCCAUGAUUACCCCCACUUCCUCCCAUCAACAAAAUUAACCCACCAAACAACCUCCUGAGAGAAAGGAUGAAGAAGCCGGAUGUGAGCUAUGCUCAUGGACAACUGAAUAUCCAGAAAGGUUAAUUACCAUACAAAAAAAAAUCUAAAAGUGGAUAAAGAAAGAUGUUGUCCAACUGGAGGAAUAAAGACAAAGCAGGGAUCUUUACAUCUGAAAAUGGGUUUUUGUGAUUUUGGUUGAUUCGGAGGAAGGGAAGUUCUUUAUCUUCUGUGUUUUUCCGGAAGAGAAUCUUAUGUUUGAUUGUAAAAUCAAUUUUAGGUCAACUAGAAUUGAGUGUUCUAUAUUGUUUGAUUGUUCAUCAAUUUGUAGAUGGUCACUUCUCUUUUUCUAAGGAAAACAAAAACACUCUUUCGUUGAUACUAAUUUUGUUAUUAUCGAGGAAAUUGAUUUGUUUGUAACCAAAGUUUAGAUUUUACUCAUUUCUGAUUCUAGGUUUUCCUCAAGAUGAAAAAAGCUGAUGUCAACCUACAAUAGACAAACAGUUCAGUUUCAAAUGAAUGUGGAAUUGGUAUUCCUCAAGAUGAUCUCGAUCAUUUCUAGAAUUCAGAGUUAUGUUAAAUUGAGAUCAUUCUUUGAUUAAUAUAUUGUUUGGAAAAGGAGUCUACUGUGCUGAUAAGGUGAGAAAGAGCGUGAAGUCUCCUUGAAAUAGGUCUAUGAUCUCAAGAAAGCUUCUGUGAGAGAAUUGAUCCUGUAAAUUGUCAUCUAUCUUUAUUUGUGUUCAUGUGUUUCACAUUUACAGGAGUACAUGUAAGCACUCAGUUCUUACAGGCAUGUAUGUGUUUUCACAUGUUUUUGAUGGGAUCUUUGAUUUCUUUCCAAGGUGGAACAAGUGAUGACUUGGAUGUUCCCACCUUUUGUGCUGAAUUUGCAAAGGAACAUGAAGUUUGUCUAUUUUGCUCUUACAGAUCAUGCUGCUUCAGUGAUGGAAUAUCAUUACACAAGGACGCCUUAACAGGGGAGUUUUUUUAGUGAAGCUGCUCUUGCAAAUCAUACUGCUGCGUCAAUCCUUAAAUUUCAUAACCAAAUAUAUAAGAACACUGUCUCCUAAUAGAGAUUCUAAUGCUGAUUUGAACAAUUUUGUUAUACCUCUAGACAACAGUCAUGCUACAGCUGCAACGGGCACUAUUAGGAUGUUCAUAUAUUUUCUGAAAGUGUUUCUGCUGCCUGAGGGUUUGGAGUUUUCGGAGAAGAAAAGUAAGUAGACAGGGAUAUGGGAAAAUCAUCAUGACUUGGAUGGUUUUUGAGAGAGUGCAUGGAAAUAACGUAAGUGGUCAGACUUCACCAGAGGUUGGGUCUUUUUUCCUCCCUAGGAGCCAAUGCAUCACACUACAAGUACAAGCUAUGAGUUUUUGUAGAUGUACCAAUUUGGUGGUCCAUUAUUUACAUGGUUGGUCCAACCAGAAGUAUAAGAUUAUUAUUUUCGCAACUAAUUUGGUUGUGUUACUUUAUUGGUAGAUAUACUUAGAUCUACGAUGUACAGAUAUUUUACUCAAAUAAAUUUAAGUUAAA